AUUGAACGCUGGCGGCAUGCUUUACACAUGCAAGUCGAACGGUAACAGGGUGCUUGCACCGCUGACGAGUGGCGAACGGGUGAGUAAUGCGUCGGAACGUGCCGAGUAGUGGGGGAUAACGCAGCGAAAGUUGUGCUAAUAACGCAUACGUACUGAGGUAGAAAGUGGGGGACCUUCGGGCCUCACGCUAUUUGAGCGGCCGACGUCUGAUUAGCUAGUAGGUGAGGUAAAGGCUCACCUAGGCGACGAUCAGUAGCGGGUCUGAGAGGAUGAUCCGCCACACUGGGACUGAGACACGGCCCAGACUCCUACGGGAGGCAGCAGUGGGGAAUUUUGGACAAUGGGCGAAAGCCUGAUCCAGCCAUGCCGCGUGUCUGAAGAAGGCCUUCAGGUUGUAAAGGACUUUUGUCAGGGAGGAAAUCCCUAGUGCUAAUAACACUGGGGGAUGACAGUACCUGAAGAAUAAGCACCGGCUAACUACGUGCCAGCAGCCGCAGUAA
This 500-nucleotide ribosomal RNA is filed under the name uncultured bacterium. RNAcentral's name for it is "partial 16S ribosomal RNA". It matches the Rfam family "Bacterial small subunit ribosomal RNA", at positions 30 to 523 of the family's 1533-position model. The record is from RNAcentral.